UUAGAGACAUGUAUAUGGCUAGGGGUCAUUGCGAACUUACCAAACCAUUGCAAACUCGAAUACCGGUGAGUGCCGAGGCUUGGGAGACAGAUCGUCGGGUGUAGAACGUCCUCGCGUCAAAACGAGGCGAAACAACCCAGACCGCCAGCUAAUGGUCCAAAGAUUGAGCUAAGUGGAAACCGAAGUGGGAAGGCUAAAACAUCAGGAGUUGGCCUUAGAAGCAGCAAUCAUUUAAAGAAAGCGCAAUAGCUCACUGAUCGAGUCGUCCAGCGCGGAAUGAUGUAACGGGGCUUAUCGCCAGUCACCGAAGCUGCGGAUAUGUCUUUGACAUAUGGUAGGAGAGCGUUCUGUAAGCCUGCGAUAGGUGUCUUGUAAAGGAUGCUGGAGGACAGAAGUGCGAAUGCUGACCAUGAAGUAGCGAUAAAGCGUGAAAAGCCCCUCGCCGAAACCCAAGGUUUCCUGUAUCAACCGUUCAUCGGAGCAGGGUGAGUCGGGCCCUAAACGGCGAGGCAGAGAGCUAGCUGAUUGGGAAGCAGGUAAUAUUCCUGCCACCUUGUAUGAUGCGAUGGGGGGACGGAUCGCGGAAGGUUGUCUGCCUGUGUGAAUAGGCAGUUUCUGGUUCAUAGAUAGGCGCUUAGCAAAUCCGGCGCGCGGAAUUCAAGGGAUCGCGGACUGGCGCUUCAUGCUGCUUAUAGCAAUCGGAAGUUGUUCAAGAAAGCCUCUACUUCAGUCAUACGAGGACCGUUACCGCCCAAAGACACAGGUGGGCCGAGAUGAGUAUUUCUAAGGCGUUUCAGAGAACUCGCGGAGAAUGAACUCGCAAAUGUACCGUAACUCGGAUAAGGUACGCCCUAGCUGAUUGGCUUUCUACUCCACUGAGGGUAAAAGGGUUGCAAUAAAACUGGUGCUGCCGACUCUUUUAAUCAAAAACACAGCACCUGCAAACACCAAAGUGGACGGUAUAGGGCUGUGACGCCUGCCCGGUGCUGGAAGAUUAAAUGAUGGGGUGCAAGCUCUUGAUUGAAGUCCCCAGUAAACGGCGGCCUUACUAUAACGGGUCCUAAGGUAGCGAAAUCCUCUGUCGGGUAAGUUCCGACCUGCACGAAUGGCGUAACGAUGGCACACUGUCUCCUCCCGAGACUCAGCGAAGUUGAAAUGUUUGUGAUGAUGCAAUCUAAACCGCGGCUAGACGGAAAGACCCAUGAACCUUUACUGUAGCUUUGCAUUGACUUUGAACCAUCUGUGUAGGAUAGGUGGGAGGCUUUGAAGCGGGACCCAGUUCUCGUGGGCCAUCCUUGAAAUACCACCCUGGUUUGUUUGAGUUCUAACCUUGCCGUUAUCCGGGUCGGGACAGUGCAUGGUAAGCAGUUUUGACUGGGCGCGUCUCUCUAAAGUGUAACGGAGGAGUUUCGAAGGUACGCCUAGGUACGGUCGGACAUCGUGCUAAUAGUGCAAUGGCAUAAGCUGUUAACUGCGAGACGACAAGUCGAGCAGGUACGAAAGUAGGACAUAGUGAUCGGUGGUUCUGUAUGGAAGGGCCAUCGCUCAACGAUAAAAGGUACUCUGGGAUAACAGGCUGAUUUCCUCCAAGAGUCAUAUCGACGGGGGAGUUUGGCACCUCGAUGUCGGCUCAUCACAUCCUGGGCUGUAGCCGGUCCCAAGGGUAUGGCUGUUCCGCAUUUAAAGUGGUACGUGAGCUGGGUUUAAAACGUCGUGAGACAGUUUGGUCCCUAUCUGCGUGGGCGUUGGAAAUUUGAAGGGGGCCUCCUAGUACGAGAGGACCGGAGUGAACGACCUCUGCUGUACCGGUUGUCACGCCAGUGGCAUUGCCGGGUAGCUAAGUUCGGAAGAGAUAACCGCUGAAAGCAUCUAAGCGGGAAACUCGCCUUGAGAUGAGAUUUCCCGGAGCCUUGAGCUCCUUGAAGGUCGUUCGAGAGCCAGGACGUUGAUAGGUCGGGUGUGGAAGUGCAGUAAUCAUUAAGCAACCGAUACUAAUUGCCCGUACGGCUUGUCCCU
This 2016-nucleotide non-coding RNA is filed under the name Massilia sp. WF1. Its description in RNAcentral is "Bacterial large subunit ribosomal RNA". It matches the Rfam family "Bacterial large subunit ribosomal RNA", at positions 902 to 2925 of the family's 2925-position model. The record is from Rfam by way of RNAcentral. Lineage: Bacteria; Pseudomonadati; Pseudomonadota; Betaproteobacteria; Burkholderiales; Oxalobacteraceae.